GAUUGUGGCUCAGUGGUAGAGUACUUGCGUAGCAUGCAUGAGGCACUGGGUUUGAUUCCCAGCACCA
This 67-nucleotide transfer RNA is filed under the name Marmota monax (woodchuck). RNAcentral describes it as "tRNA.Ala". It matches the Rfam family "tRNA", at positions 6 to 65 of the family's 71-position model. Rfam says of the family: Transfer RNA (tRNA) molecules are approximately 80 nucleotides in length. Their secondary structure includes four short double-helical elements and three loops (D, anti-codon, and T loops). Lineage: Eukaryota; Metazoa; Chordata; Mammalia; Rodentia; Sciuridae. The record is from RNAcentral.